UGGGGAAUAUUGCACAAUGGGCGAAAGCCUGAUGCAGCAACGCCGCGUGAGUGAUGAAGGCCUUCGGGUUGUAAAGCUCUGUCUUUUGGGACGAUAAUGACGGUACCAAAGGAGGAAGCCACGGCUAACUACGUGCCAGCAGCCGCGGUAAUACGUAGGUGGCAAGCGUUGUCCGGAUUUACUGGGCGUAAAGGAUGCGUAGGCGGAUUUUUAAGUGAGAUGUGAAAUACCCGGGCUUAACUUGGGUGCUGCAUUUCAAACUGGGAAUCUAGAGUGCGGGAGAGGAGAAUGGAAUUCCUAGUGUAGCGGUGAAAUGCGUAGAGAUUAGGAAGAACACCAGUGGCGAAGGCGAUUCUCUGGACCGUAACUGACGCUGAGGCAUGAAAGCGUGGGUAGCAAACAGGAUUAGAUACCCUGGUAGUCCACGCCGUAAACGAUGAGUACUAGGUGUAGGAGGUAUCGACCCCUUCUGUGCCGCAGUUAACACAAUAAGUACUCCGCCUGGGAAGUACGAUCGCAGGAUUAAAACUCAAAUGAAUUGACGGGGUC
Molecule: ribosomal RNA, 549 nt
Filed under: uncultured bacterium
Lineage: Bacteria
Description: partial 16S ribosomal RNA
Rfam family: Bacterial small subunit ribosomal RNA
Source: RNAcentral